GACGAACGCUGGCGGCGUGCUUAACACAUGCAAGUCGAAGAUGGUGGCGAACGGGUGAGUACUACGUGGUUAACCUGCCCUCCUUUUUGGGCUACGCCUUGGAAACGGGGUUUACUCCCGAUUUAAGGGGGACGGGGUGGCGGCGUUUCCGCUUGUUGGUGGGGUUAUGGCAGACCAAGGCGGUGACGGGUAGCCGGCCUGAGAGGGUGACCGGCGACAGUGGGACGGACAUACGGCCCAGACUCCUACGGGAGGCAGCAGUGGGGGAUAUUGCACAAUGGGCGAAAGACGGAUGCAGCGACGACGCGGGGGGGAUGCAGGCUGUCAGGUUGUAAACCUCGUUCGCUAUCGAAUGGGUAGGUGGAGAAGAAGCGCCGGCUAACUACGUGCCAGCAGCCGCGGUAAUAC
RNAcentral lists this ribosomal RNA (408 nucleotides) under uncultured bacterium. RNAcentral describes it as "partial 16S ribosomal RNA". It matches the Rfam family "Bacterial small subunit ribosomal RNA", at positions 28 to 526 of the family's 1533-position model. The record is from RNAcentral.